RNAcentral lists this ribosomal RNA (253 nucleotides) under uncultured bacterium. RNAcentral describes it as "partial 16S ribosomal RNA". It matches the Rfam family "Bacterial small subunit ribosomal RNA", at positions 524 to 776 of the family's 1533-position model. The record is from RNAcentral.
UACGUAGGGCGCAAGCGUUGUCCGGAAUUAUUGGGCGUAAAGAGCUCGUAGGCGGCUUGUCACGUCUGCUGUGAAAUCCCGGGGCUCAACCCCGGGCGUGCAGUGGAUACGGGCUGGCUAGAGGCAGGCAGGGGAGAACGGAAUUCCCGGUGUAGCGGUGAAAUGCGCAGAUAUCGGGAGGAACACCGGUGGCGAAGGCGGUUCUCUGGGCCUGUACUGACGCUGAGGCGCGAAAGCUAGGGGAGCAAACAGG